Molecule: ribosomal RNA, 743 nt
Filed under: Shigella flexneri
Lineage: Bacteria; Pseudomonadati; Pseudomonadota; Gammaproteobacteria; Enterobacterales; Enterobacteriaceae
Description: bacterial SSU rRNA
Rfam family: Bacterial small subunit ribosomal RNA
Source: RNAcentral
GUAAACGAUGUCGACUUGGAGGUUGUGCCCUUGAGGUGUGGCUUCCGGAGCUAACGCGUUAAGUCGACCGCCUGGGGAGUACGGCCGCAAGGUUAAAACUCAAAUGAAUUGACGGGGGCCCGCACAAGCGGUGGAGCAUGUGGUUUAAUUCGAUGCAACGCGAAGAACCUUACCUGGUCUUGACAUCCACGGAAGUUUUCAGAGAUGAGAAUGUGCCUUCGGGAACCGUGAGACAGGUGCUGCAUGGCUGUCGUCAGCUCGUGUUGUGAAAUGUUGGGUUAAGUCCCGCAACGAGCGCAACCCUUAUCCUUUGUUGCCAGCGGUCCGGCCGGGAACUCAAAGGAGACUGCCAGUGAUAAACUGGAGGAAGGUGGGGAUGACGUCAAGUCAUCAUGGCCCUUACGACCAGGGCUACACACGUGCUACAAUGGCGCAUACAAAGAGAAGCGACCUCGCGAGAGCAAGCGGACCUCAUAAAGUGCGUCGUAGUCCGGAUUGGAGUCUGCAACUCGACUCCAUGAAGUCGGAAUCGCUAGUAAUCGUGGAUCAGAAUGCCACGGUGAAUACGUUCCCGGGCCUUGUACACACCGCCCGUCACACCAUGGGAGUGGGUUGCAAAAGAAGUAGGUAGCUUAACCUUCGGGAGGGCGCUUACCACUUUGUGAUUCAUGACUGGGGUGAAGUCGUAACAAGGUAACCGUAGGGGAACCUGCGGUUGGAUCACCUCCUUACCUUAAAGAAGC